GACGAACGCUGGCGGCGUGCUUAACACAUGCAAGUCGAACGGAAAGGCCCUGCUUUUGUGGGGUGCUCGAGUGGCGAACGGGUGAGUAACACGUGAGUAACCUGCCCUCGACUUUGGGAUAACUUCAGGAAACUGGGGCUAAUACCGGAUAGGAGCUCCUGCUGCAUGGUGGGGGUUGGAAAGUUUCGGCGGUUGGGGAUGGACUCGCAGCUUAUCAGCUUGUUGGUGGGGUAGUGGCUUACCAAGGCUUUGACGGGUAGCCGGCCUGAGAGGGUGACCGGCCACAUUGGGACUGAGAUACGGCCCAGACUCCUACGGGAGGCAGCAGUGGGGAAUAUUGCACAAUGGGCGGAAGCCUGAUGCAGCAACGCCGCGUGCGGGAUGACGGCCUUCGGGUUGUAAACCGCUUUCGCCUGUGACGAAGCGUGAGUGACGGUAAUGGGUAAAGAAGCACCGGCUAACUACGUG
RNAcentral lists this ribosomal RNA (468 nucleotides) under uncultured bacterium. RNAcentral's name for it is "partial 16S ribosomal RNA". It matches the Rfam family "Bacterial small subunit ribosomal RNA", at positions 28 to 507 of the family's 1533-position model. The record is from RNAcentral.